This 339-nucleotide unclassified non-coding RNA is filed under the name soil metagenome. RNAcentral's name for it is "partial contains 5.8S ribosomal RNA, internal transcribed spacer 2, and large subunit ribosomal RNA". The stretch from base 1 to 120 matches the Rfam family "5.8S ribosomal RNA", at positions 35 to 154 of the family's 154-position model. The record is from RNAcentral.
GAUGAAGAACGUAGCGAAAUGCGAUACGUAGUGUGAAUUGCAGAAUUCAGUGAAUCAUCGAAUCUUUGAACGCACAUUGUACCUCUCGGUAUUCCGGGAGGUAUGCCUGUUCGAGCGUCAUUUGUACCCUCAAGCUCUGCUUGGUGUUGGGUGUUUGUUCCGCCUCUGUGUGUGAACUCGCCUCAAAACAAUUGGCAGCCGGCGUACUUGUUUCGGAGCGCAGCACAUUUUGCGAUCCAGAUCAACGUACAGCGGCAUCCAAGAAGCCUUAUUUAACGCUCUUGACCUCGGAUCAGGUAGGGAUACCCGCUGAACUUAAGCAUAUCAAUAAGCGGAGGA